GGGUUGUGAGGUUAAGCGACUAAGCGUACACGGUGGAUGCCCUGGCAGUCAGAGGCGAUGAAGGACGUGCUAAUCUGCGAUAAGCGUCGGUAAGGUGAUAUGAACCGUUAUAACCGGCGAUUUCCGAAUGGGGAAACCCAGUGUGUUUCGACACACUAUCAUUAACUGAAUCCAUAGGUUAAUGAGGCGAACCGGGGGAACUGAAACAUCUAAGUACCCCGAGGAAAAGAAAUCAACCGAGAUUCCCCCAGUAGCGGCGAGCGAACGGGGAGGAGCCCAGAGCCUGAAUCAGUGUGUGUGUUAGUGGAAGCGUCUGGAAAGGCGCGCGAUACAGGGUGACAGCCCCGUACACAAAAAUGCACAUGCUGUGAGCUCGAUGAGUAGGGCGGGACACGUGGUAUCCUGUCUGAAUAUGGGGGGA
Molecule: ribosomal RNA, 421 nt
Filed under: Escherichia coli
Lineage: Bacteria; Pseudomonadati; Pseudomonadota; Gammaproteobacteria; Enterobacterales; Enterobacteriaceae
Description: partial 23S ribosomal RNA
Rfam family: Bacterial large subunit ribosomal RNA
Source: RNAcentral